This 1214-nucleotide long non-coding RNA is filed under the name Vitis vinifera (wine grape). RNAcentral's name for it is "long non-coding RNA (VVIN_LNC004386)". Lineage: Eukaryota; Viridiplantae; Streptophyta; Magnoliopsida; Vitales; Vitaceae. The record is from RNAcentral.
AAACAUAAAAAACGAGUCAUGAUUCCACCCCUGAAAUUUAUGGAACACUCACCAUUGCCUUUUAUAACCACUUCAACAAUUUCCCAUAACCUUUUACACGAUAAAGUGGGUGAUUUUUCUCUCCCACUGCUGUAUCUUAUAGACCCUCUUUGCUUCACGUGAAUCUUUGUCCUUUUCAGCUUUUCUUUUCUUAAUCUUAAAUUAUGAAAACACUUUCUUGAAAUAAAAUCAGAUUAAAAACAAAAACACACCCGCACAUAGAGCGCAUUUUCUUUUUCUUGCUUUUACAAGUUUCAACUUGACCCGAUAUUUCGGAGCCGAAACGUCAAGUGUUCCGAAAUUUCGUAAUGGGUCGGUUACCAGAGACAGUCGUUGAAGCUAAACGACGACGCUUCGAGGUGGUCGAACGGCCACCCAGUUGGGAUCGAUCCACAGAGGUGGUUGUGGCUCAGAUCCAGGUGGCCGAUAUACGCAGCCGAUGACAAAGAUUUCGGUAUCUGACCCUUGAGGUUGUUGUACGAUAAAUCCAGUCCUAUGAAGUACGUUUUCGACCCGAAAACGUCUGGUAAUUUGCCUUCGAGCGAGUUUCGGCUGAGGUUGAGGAUGUUGAGUCCGGUGUUGCUCAGUAGAGAUGCCGGGAUGGAACCGGAGAGUCUGUUGCUGUCGAGGUUGAGAGUGGAGAGAACCGGCAUUGAACCGAGUUCAGCCGGGAUCACACCGGAGAUUUGGUUUACGGAGAGGUCAAAAUCGGCGAGCCGGUAAAGGCCUGAGAUGGAGCUCGGAAUGGUGCCGGUGAGCUGGUUCCGGCCGAGCAUGGCUCGGCUCAGCAUCGUGAGUUUUCCGAAAUCCUGCGGAAUUCCGCCGGUGAUCUGGUUGUUCCGGAGGUCCAGGUGCAUUAGUGACGCGAGGUUCACAACCGACGCCGGAAUGCUGCCGGAGAUCGAGUUAUCCGCCACGUUCAGAACCGUCAGUCGCUGCAACUUCCCGAUGUCCGCCGGGAUCACACCGGUGAUCUUGUUCCCGACGAGGUCGAGGAUCCGAAGCUUGCUGAGCGACGAAAUGCACGGUGGAAUCUCGCCAGAGAUGCCCUUCCAGUCCGCGAUUAUCAGCGUGGUGAGGCUGUCCAGCUUGCAAAUGGAAGGCGAGAUCGCGCCAGUCAUGUAGCCAGACCGGCCGGCGCGCUCAAAGAUCGGAUCCUCCGACUCCCCCCGGAG